This is a long non-coding RNA of Cryptomeria japonica (Japanese cedar), 598 nucleotides long. RefSeq lists it as uncharacterized. Lineage: Eukaryota; Viridiplantae; Streptophyta; Pinopsida; Cupressales; Cupressaceae. The record is from RefSeq and is a predicted model, not a curated record. The transcript has 3 exons.
AUUUCAUUAAUGCUAUUUACUUAUUUCUUAAAUGCGCUGUACAUUUCAUUAAUUUUUUAGAUUAAAAACAAAGUAAAUUUCAUUAAAGGCUAUUGAAUGCAGAAUUUAGUUGACGAAAAUACUCUGGCUGCCUUCGCAUCGAAUAGUUACUGAGGUUCAUUGCUUCUACAAUUUUGUUGCAUUCUCAUUUGGCAGGGGUGAAAGAUUUAAGGAAGCAGAACAUUUUAUUUGCGCAAAGUUUCCUAAGAAGACUCCAUAAAUCCAGGGUAUCCUUUGCACAACACAGUCUUACCAAUUUCACAUGCUUACUGCUCAAGGCUGAGGCCCGCCUAAUAUUUUAUUCUCUGGACUUUGUUAUGAGGAGGUUUGAGGAAAGCGGCAGGAAGAAGACAGAAAGUAAAAGUAAAAGUUAGUGUUAAAGCGGGAGAAGGAGAGCAAUCAAUUGUGGCCCUCUCAAGAAUGUUCAUCUUAAAUUGGAUUCCUUUUAAUGUUUGUAAUGUGAAAUGUUUAUAGAUAUUAGGUAAGUAAAUAGAACUACUUAAUAUCUUAAAAUGUAAGGAAAUGGAAAUAAAUAAUGUAAAUUUGUGUUUGGUUGAUC